Molecule: long non-coding RNA, 304 nt
Filed under: Salvia miltiorrhiza (redroot sage)
Lineage: Eukaryota; Viridiplantae; Streptophyta; Magnoliopsida; Lamiales; Lamiaceae
Description: long non-coding RNA (SMIL_LNC009387)
Source: RNAcentral
UCGAUUGAAACUUUUGUUUAAACAAAAAGGGCCUAAUAAGUAAUAAGGGUGUAGAGUUUGUUUUAGUUUCGUCUUUUUUCUUUUCAUGUUGUGUGUGGUUGACCUUUUUUCUUGUGCUGCAUCUCUCGGGUUUGAGUAGCAGGAUAUGUAAGGUUUUUUUUUUUUCAUUUAUAAAAUCUAAUUUUAUAUUAUCAUUGUUGAUCAAGAGUUCAUAAUUCAGUUUGUUAUAUAUUUUUAAAAUAAAAUAUUUUGUUGACGGAAUGAAUUCACAAUAAAAUAAAAUAGUUAAUUUUUUGCCAAAAAG